GUUGUGGAUGAACGGAUGAAGCUUGUAGUCCAGGCAGCAUCGUUGAUAGAUGUGGUUCGAGCCUGGAUCUUGUUGGUCCAUAAGAGAGUUGGUCGUCAGAAUGACAAACUUGUCAUCUAGUAUGGUCCAUUAAUCCGAGAUCGGGAGAGGAUAGUGAAUAUGAACUACAUCUACAACCGUAACGACAUAGGCCCGUGGAUGCUUCGAAUGAAAAGAGCAUAUUUCGCCAGGCUUGUGCAAACGUUCAGGAGCAGGGGGUUGCUACAAGAUAGCAUCCACACCACUAUGGAAGAGCAAGUUGCCAUGUUCCUGCAUGUUGUAGGUCAUAGCCAGAGGUUCAGGGUUAUGCACAACACAUUCAGGAGAUCAAUGGAGACCAUUUCCAGGUACUUUAGGCAAGUGUUGUAUGUUGUUGGGGAACUCGGAGGAGAGAUGAUCAGGUCACAAACCGGUCGGACUCCUAACAAGAUUCGCACUAGCCCAAGAUGGUAUCUAUACUUCAAGGUGAGCACAAUACGUAGUUGA
Molecule: ribosomal RNA, 525 nt
Filed under: Triticum aestivum (bread wheat)
Lineage: Eukaryota; Viridiplantae; Streptophyta; Magnoliopsida; Poales; Poaceae
Description: partial small subunit ribosomal RNA
Source: RNAcentral